AAGCCAGAACAGACUUAGGAUCACAACACAACACAGAAUAUUAGCUGCUAUCACAACUGUGUUCCGGCCACUAAGAAAAUGGAGCCCUCGAAACUAUUCAUAAUGUCGGACAAUGCCACCGUUGCACCUGGACCUGUUGUUAAUGCGGCUGGUAAGAAGACAUUCCGAACCUGUUUCCGAAUAUUGGUCCUAUCUGUACAAGCCGUUACCCUUAUAUUGGUUAUUGUCACUUUAGGUGAGCUUAUCAGGAUGAUCAAUGAUCAAGGCUUGAGCAAUCAGUUGUCUUCAAUUACAGACAAGAUAAGAGAAUCAGCUGCUGUGAUUGCAUCUGCUGUGGGAGUAAUGAAUCAAGUUAUUCAUGGAGUAACGGUAUCCUUACCCCUACAAAUUGAGGGAAACCAAAAUCAAUUAUUAUCCACACUUGCCACAAUCUGCACAAACAGAAACCAAGUCUCAAACUGCUCUACAAACAUCCCCUUAGUUAAUGACCUUAGGUUUAUAAAUGGAAUCAAUAAGUUUAUCAUUGAAGAUUAUGCAA
RNAcentral lists this unclassified non-coding RNA (538 nucleotides) under Mumps orthorubulavirus. RNAcentral describes it as "partial miscellaneous RNA". Lineage: Riboviria; Orthornavirae; Negarnaviricota; Monjiviricetes; Mononegavirales; Paramyxoviridae. The record is from RNAcentral.